Molecule: small nucleolar RNA, 126 nt
Organism: Cynocephalus volans (Philippine flying lemur)
Lineage: Eukaryota; Metazoa; Chordata; Mammalia; Dermoptera; Cynocephalidae
Product: small nucleolar RNA SNORA77
Exons: 1
Source: RefSeq, a predicted model, not a curated record
GCAGACUCACUCUGCACCCAACUGCAGCCUCAGGCAUGUGCUUUUUUCAUCUGCCAGAGAAACACUUUGGGAUGCUGUGGCCACCUUGGCCUGUCAAGGACGAUACAGCUGUCUGGGGACACAGGU